This 73-nucleotide transfer RNA is filed under the name Sphaerodactylus townsendi. Its description in RNAcentral is "tRNA-Thr". Lineage: Eukaryota; Metazoa; Chordata; Lepidosauria; Squamata; Sphaerodactylidae. The record is from RNAcentral.
GGGGCUUGUGGCUCAGUGGUAUAGCAUUUGCUUGGUGUGCUGAAGGUCCCAGUUCCAGUCCUUGGUAUCUCCA